UACGUAGGGGGCUAGCGUUGUCCGGAAUCAUUGGGCGUAAAGCGCGCGUAGGCGGCCCAGUAAGUCCGUUGUAAAAGUCAAAGGCUCAACCUUUGAAAGCCGAUGGAUACUGCUGGGCUAGAGUUCGGAAGAGGCGAGUGGAAUUCCCGGUGUAGCGGUGAAAUGCGCAGAUAUCGGGAGGAACACCUAUGGCGAAGGCAGCUCGCUGGGACGUUACUGACGCUGAGACGCGAAAGCGUGGGGAGCAAACAGG
Molecule: ribosomal RNA, 253 nt
Filed under: uncultured bacterium
Lineage: Bacteria
Description: partial 16S ribosomal RNA
Rfam family: Bacterial small subunit ribosomal RNA
Source: RNAcentral